UGGGUCGUCGCUGGCUUCUAGGAGCAUGUGCACGCCUUGUCAUCUUUAUCCAUCCACCUGUGCACAUUUUGUAGUCUUGGAGGAAUGAGCGUGGAACCGCCUCGAGGAAAAACAUCCUCGGAAAAGAGGUCUGCCACAGGCUGAUCUUGUUGUCGGUGUUAGCGCAAGUUUCUCUGGGUCUAUGUCUUUCAUAUACCACGUAGAAUGUCUCUGAAUGCCUUCAUUGGGCCUUAGUGCCUGUAAUACAAAUACAACUUUCAGCAACGGAUCUCUUGGCUCUCGCAUCGAUGAAGAACGCAGCGAAAUGCGAUAAGUAAUGUGAAUUGCAGAAUUCAGUGAAUCAUCGAAUCUUUGAACGCACCUUGCGCUCCUUGGUAUUCCGAGGAGCAUGCCUGUUUGAGUGUCAUUUAAUUCUCAACCCCUUCCAGCUUUUGUCUGGUCUUGGUGGCUUGGAUGUGGGGGAUCUUGCCGGCUUCCUUCAGAGGUCGGCUCCCCUGAAAUGCACUAGUGGAACCGUUUGCGGGACUGCCAACCGGUGUGAUAACUAUCUAUGCCAAAGGCACCCGCUCUCCUUCAGUUCUGCUUCUAACUGUCCUUAACUUCGGACAACCAUACAUUAAUGAAUGCUUGACCUCAAAUCAGGUAGGACUACCCGCUGAACUUAAGCAUAUCAAUAAGCGGAGGAA
This 686-nucleotide ribosomal RNA is filed under the name uncultured Agaricales. RNAcentral describes it as "eukaryotic LSU rRNA". The stretch from base 253 to 406 matches the Rfam family "5.8S ribosomal RNA". Lineage: Eukaryota; Fungi; Basidiomycota; Agaricomycetes; Agaricales. The record is from RNAcentral.